This 81-nucleotide transfer RNA is filed under the name Phakopsora pachyrhizi. RNAcentral's name for it is "tRNA-Glu". It matches the Rfam family "tRNA". From Rfam's summary of the family: Transfer RNA (tRNA) molecules are approximately 80 nucleotides in length. Their secondary structure includes four short double-helical elements and three loops (D, anti-codon, and T loops). The record is from RNAcentral. Lineage: Eukaryota; Fungi; Basidiomycota; Pucciniomycetes; Pucciniales; Phakopsoraceae.
UCCGAAUUAGUAUAUCGGCUAGUAUGACCGCCUCUCACUGUGAAGUCGCGGUAGAGACGGGUUCGACUCCCGUAUUCGGAA